RNAcentral lists this ribosomal RNA (465 nucleotides) under Vreelandella stevensii. RNAcentral's name for it is "partial 16S ribosomal RNA". It matches the Rfam family "Bacterial small subunit ribosomal RNA", at positions 338 to 795 of the family's 1533-position model. The record is from RNAcentral. Lineage: Bacteria; Pseudomonadati; Pseudomonadota; Gammaproteobacteria; Oceanospirillales; Halomonadaceae.
CCUACGGGAGGCAGCAGUGGGGAAUAUUGGACAAUGGGGGCAACCCUGAUCCAGCCAUGCCGCGUGUGUGAAGAAGGCCCUCGGGUUGUAAAGCACUUUCAGUGAGGAAGAACGCCUGGUGGUUAAUACCCAUCAGGAAAGACAUCACUCACAGAAGAAGCACCGGCUAACUCCGUGCCAGCAGCCGCGGUAAUACGGAGGGUGCGAGCGUUAAUCGGAAUUACUGGGCGUAAAGCGCGCGUAGGUGGCUUGAUAAGCCGGUUGUGAAAGCCCCGGGCUCAACCUGGGAACGGCAUCCGGAACUGUCAAGCUAGAGUGCAGGAGAGGAAGGUAGAAUUCCCGGUGUAGCGGUGAAAUGCGUAGAGAUCGGGAGGAAUACCAGUGGCGAAGGCGGCCUUCUGGACUGACACUGACACUGAGGUGCGAAGGCGUGGGUAGCAAACAGGAUUAGAUACCCUUGUAGUC